AAACAUGUCUUUUUGAAAAUAAUUUAAAGUCUAAUCUGCCCACUGAUNAAAUUAUUAAAGGGCUGCAGUAUUUUGACUGUACAAAGGUAGCAUAAUCAUUAGUCUCUUAAUUGGUGACUUGUAUGAAAGAUUGGAUGAAAUAUAUACUGUCUCUAUUUAAUUUAUAAAAUUUAAUUUUUUAGUAAAAAAGCUAAAAUAAAUUUAAAAGACGAGAAGACCCUAUAGAGUUUAAUAAUUUAUUUAAUUAUUAUUAAUAUAUAAAUUUUAAAAUUAAAAUUAAAUAAAUUAUUUUGUUGGGGUGAUAGAAAAAUUAAAUUAACUUUUUUUUUAUUUUAUACAUUAAUUUAUGAAUAAAUGAUCCAUUAAUAAUGAUUAAAAGAAAAAAUUACCUUAGGGAUAACAGCGUAAUUUUUUUUUUUAGUUCAAAUAGGAAAAAAAGUUUGCGACCUCGAUGUUGGAUUAAGAUAAAAUUUAAAUGCAAAAG
Molecule: ribosomal RNA, 484 nt
Filed under: Papilio bianor ssp. CBGPFLC_00004
Lineage: Eukaryota; Metazoa; Arthropoda; Insecta; Lepidoptera; Papilionidae
Description: partial 16S ribosomal RNA
Source: RNAcentral